GGGGAAUCUUCCGCAAUGGACGAAAGUCUGACGGAGCAACGCCGCGUGAGUGAUGACGGCCUUCGGGUUGUAAAGCUCUGUUAAUCGGGACGAAUGGUUCUUGUGCGAAUAGUGCGAGGAUUUGACGGUACCGGAAUAGAAAGCCACGGCUAACUACGUGCCAGCAGCCGCGGUAAUACGUAGGUGGCAAGCGUUGUCCGGAAUUAUUGGGUGUAAAGCGCGCGCAGGCGGAUUGGUCAGUCUGUCUUAAAAGUUCGGGGCUUAACCCCGUGAUGGGAUGGAAACUGCCAAUCUAGAGUAUCGGAGAGGAAAGUGGAAUUCCUAGUGUAGCGGUGAAAUGCGUAGAUAUUAGGAAGAACACCAGUGGCGAAGGCGACUUUCUGGACGAAAACUGACGCUGAGGCGCGAAAGCCAGGGGAGCGAACGGGAUUAGAUACCCCGGUAGUCCUGGCCGUAAACGAUGGGUACUAGGUGUAGGAGGUAUCGACCCCUUCUGUGCCGGAGUUAACGCAAUAAGUACCCCGCCUGGGGAGUACGACCGCAAGGUUG
Molecule: ribosomal RNA, 549 nt
Filed under: uncultured bacterium
Lineage: Bacteria
Description: bacterial SSU rRNA
Rfam family: Bacterial small subunit ribosomal RNA
Source: RNAcentral